This 75-nucleotide transfer RNA is filed under the name Promicromonospora sukumoe. RNAcentral describes it as "tRNA-Val". Lineage: Bacteria; Bacillati; Actinomycetota; Actinomycetes; Micrococcales; Promicromonosporaceae. The record is from RNAcentral.
GGGCGUCCGUGCAGGUCAGGGCAACUUCCACGGUUUACACCGUGGAUGUCGGGGGUUCGAAUCCCUCCGGGCCCA